RNAcentral lists this ribosomal RNA (383 nucleotides) under uncultured bacterium. RNAcentral's name for it is "bacterial SSU rRNA". It matches the Rfam family "Bacterial small subunit ribosomal RNA", at positions 29 to 414 of the family's 1533-position model. The record is from RNAcentral.
AUUGAACGCUGGCGGCAUGCCUUACACAUGCAAGUCGAACGGCAGCACGGGGGCAACCCUGGUGGCGAGUGGCGAACGGGUGGGUAAUGCAUCGGAACGUGCCCCGUAGCGGGGGAUAACCAGUCGAAAGACUGGCUAAUACCGCAUACGCUCCACGGAGGAAAGCAGGGGAUCGCAAGACCUUGCACUAUGGGAGCGGCCGAUGCCCGAUUAGCUAGUUGGUGAGGAAAGGCUCACCAAGGCGACGAUCGGUAGCUGGUUUGAGAGAACGACCAGCCACACUGGGACUGAGACACGGCCCAGACUCCUACGGGAGGCAGCAGUGGGGAAUUUUGGACAAUGGGCGCAAGCCUGAUCCAGCCAUGCCGCGUGCGGGAUGAAGG